UAGGGAAUAUUGUGCAAUGGGCGAAAGCCUGACACAGCCAUGCCGCGUGUGUGAAGAAGGCCCUAGGGUUGUAAAGCACUUUCAGUGGCGAAGAAAAGCUCCAUGCUAAUACCAUGGGGUGUUGACGUUAACCACAGAAGAAGUACCGGCUAACUCCGUGCCAGCAGCCGCGGUAAUACGGAGGGUACGAACGUUAAUCGGAAUUACUGGGCGUAAAGCGCGCGUAGGCGGUUCGCUAAGUGAGGUGUGAAAUCCCCGGGCUCAACCUGGGAACUGCACUUCAAACUGGCGGACUAGAGUGUAGUAGAGGGAGGCGGAAUUUCCUGUGUAGCGGUGAAAUGCGUAGAUAUAGGAAGGAACACCAGUGGCGAAGGCGGCCUCCUGGACUAACACUGACGCUGAGGCGCGAAAGCGUGGGGAGCAAACAGG
This 429-nucleotide ribosomal RNA is filed under the name uncultured Gammaproteobacteria bacterium. Its description in RNAcentral is "bacterial SSU rRNA". It matches the Rfam family "Bacterial small subunit ribosomal RNA", at positions 355 to 776 of the family's 1533-position model. The record is from RNAcentral. RNAcentral also lists the same sequence under 1 other name. Lineage: Bacteria; Pseudomonadati; Pseudomonadota; Gammaproteobacteria.